UAGUGAAAUAUUUAUUAAUCUAAAAAUUCUUUUAAAACCCAAGAUGACAGCAAAAACAGUCAUUGUCUCUACAUCGGUUUUAUUUUUAUUGACUUCUACACGGUUACCUUGGCUAUACAAUGGGAAAUCCUUUCGACUAACACUGCUCUGUUCAUAAUCGAUUUUUAAUUGCAAUGAUUAACAAGAGCGCCCUGAGAAAACUUCAGUCCAAACAGGGUGCCACGUUUUGAAAAAGUUUUGAAUGCACUGAUGUAGUUGCAGCGAUCGUUUUAAUUUUGAAAACGGUUUGACGUUUUUAAACCGUUUUAAAGUAUUUACGCGACAAUAAUAAUAGAUACGUUUUAAUUUCAAACCAUUUUAACGCGAUCUGCAUAGUACAACAUUAAGUGCAAAAUAAUCGCAGCGGUUGUCGGAUAAACAACUUAUUUCGAAAGUUUAAGUCGUGCGAGUCACGUGGACUGUAUAAUACACGCGAUAACGCGAGCUGUACAAAAUAUAACUGCGUAAUGUAAUAUGCACACCCGGGCAAAUGAAACAUUAC
Non-coding RNA from Cinara cedri, 541 nucleotides. NCBI's taxonomy places the organism in Eukaryota, Metazoa, Arthropoda, Insecta, Hemiptera, Aphididae. The record is from the annotation of a GenBank genome assembly.